This 45-nucleotide non-coding RNA is filed under the name Schistosoma margrebowiei. Lineage: Eukaryota; Metazoa; Platyhelminthes; Trematoda; Strigeidida; Schistosomatidae. The record is from RNAcentral.
AUUCAGCUGACGAGUUUGAAAUAGGACGAAACGCACGUCCUGGGU